Molecule: ribosomal RNA, 76 nt
Filed under: Brevibacillus agri
Lineage: Bacteria; Bacillati; Bacillota; Bacilli; Caryophanales; Paenibacillaceae
Description: partial 16S ribosomal RNA
Rfam family: Bacterial small subunit ribosomal RNA
Source: RNAcentral
UUUAUUGGAGAGUUUGAUCCUGGCUCAGGACGAACGCUGGCGGCGUGCCUAAUACAUGCAAGUCGAGCGAGUCCCU